Molecule: long non-coding RNA, 15726 nt
Organism: Callithrix jacchus (white-tufted-ear marmoset)
Lineage: Eukaryota; Metazoa; Chordata; Mammalia; Primates; Cebidae
Source: RefSeq, a predicted model, not a curated record
UUGCGCAGGACAGGAAGUUGCGUCAGAACCAGCGGAGUGGUGGAGAGAGCGCAUCCAUGUUGUACGGAAGGCGAUGCACCUCUCCUCCGUGGGCGGAGAUGCAGGCAACCAUCGUGCCGCCCCUCUGUGGGCUGGGCUGCACACUAGCUGUCUACAUCAAGGCCACGCAGAAAUCUAUUGGAAAUCGCUGUAGAAACAAACGCAAAGGACAAGCUGCGAAGGACAGAGACAAAGGAAACUAAGAGAAUUACCAGUCAACCUACCUUUAAAGAAUGACUAAGGAUAUUCCUCAAAGGAAAUAAAGCAGGCACAGAACUUCAGAACGAAAGAACAAUGGAAUGAACAAAAAUAGGAGUUUUUGUUAAUGAAUCAUUCUAUCAGAAAAAUCAGGAGAAGAUGUAUUUUGCUGUGGAAUGAAAAGUGACAAUACGACAUUAAUUUCUUGAUUUCCGCCUUCAAAUCUUUCAAGAUCACACCUUCGGCAAUAAAGAAACCUGAAAUUGAAAACAAGUUUGAUUAUGAAAUAAAAAAACACAGCUGAGCGCGGUGGCUCACGACUGUAAUACCAGCACUUUGGGAGGCUGAGGUCAGUCCCUGCGGGGUUUCAAUCCUAUCAGUUACUCUUCUCUACAUCACCUAUCAAUUAUUUGCUGUUUUGCUCUGGGGUUGUGAUGUUUAAAAGAAGAUACAAGUCAAGUGGCUGGAGUGCAAUGGCACUAUCUUGGCUCACUGCAACCUCCGUCUCCUAAGUUCAAGUGAUCCUCCUGUCUCAACCUCCCAAGUAGCUGGGAUUACAGGCAGCUCACUGGCCCAUCUCCUCUCAAGACUGCUGCUCUGGCGACCACAUCUCUGCUCUGCAUCACCACCACUCUAGCCUGUGGCCUGCUCCUGGUUGAAGAAGCCAUCCUCUCAAUCAAAAUGAAUACCACUCUGAAAAUCUUGGGUGGUCUGACCUGAUAUUUUCACAUAGUGGCCACAGAUAUUUUAGGUCCCCAAGAAGUAGUCCCACUCUUUCAAUUUUACUGGCCCCACUGUUUGAGGAACUUGGAAUAAUUUCUCCAAGGACUGGUCUGGAGGUACUAUUGAAUGACACCAGUGUUUUUCUUCCUCCCUACUAAGGGCCAGCUGAUGUCUCAAGACCAGACAUAAAGCUUUUGGUGCUCAACUCACUCAGAAUGAGAGUCUUGCUUUCCCUCAGCACUUCCUGCCCUUCGAGGUUGGGGCCAAACAUUUUGUUCCUUUGUUACUAAGGACUUUUGAUCUUGGUUUUCGAUAUUUGUCAUUCCCAGGAGAAUUAGUACCCUGUGUCUUGGUAAAUUGUAAGAGCACUGUGGAUUUGGGAUUGUCUCAUUUCCCCAUCCCUCCCUUCACAAGAAAAGAGAAAGAGAGAGAACACCCAAACCCUGCAUCACCACUCACUCACCUGUCCACAGCCUAUGGAACAGCUGUUCGGGCAGCUGUCACAAACUGUUCACACAGGUUUUCUGAGAGAUUGGCAGUCUCCACGAGGAAGUGCUUAUAACUCCCUGCUAUGGUUCAAAUGUGUCCUCCAAAGUUUAUGUGUUGGAAACUUAAUACUCAAUACAACAGUGUUGACAGGUGGGGCCUAUAAGAGGUGAUUAGAUCACAAGCCUCUGCCCUCAUGAAUGGAUUAACGUUACUGAAAGAGCGGGACUGUUAUGCAAGCAAGUUUAGCCCCCUUCCUGUGCGCGCGCUCUCUCUCUUUCUCUCUGAAAAAGAGUGGGAGUUAGAUGCUUUUUUUCAAAAAGAACUCCUUAUACUAUCUCCACCAAUUUCUUUACAUCCUAUUCUAACCCCUCACAUUCCAUUCCUCCCUAAUCCACUUUACUAUAGUUUUCAUUUUCACCAAGAUUUAUAGUGACACCAGCUAGUCAAACACGAUGACUAACAUUCUUUGUGAUUUCAUCUUACUGACCAGUUACCAUGUGCCCAACCACUCUUCCACUGUCAAAACACCCUUGGCUUCCCUGAUGCCAUGUUCUUCGGAUUUUUUUCCCCAUGCCAUUGGCUUUGGUUUCACUCCUCUCGGGUUUUCUUUGUUCAACUCCUAAAUUUUUAAGUAUUCUAUAGGCUUGAUUUUGGUUUCUCUGUUUGUUUUCUCUCUUUAUCCUCAUUCUAGGGAAUCUCAUUUCUUUCAUUAUAAAUCACCAGAAUUAUGAUAAUUUUCAAAUUUAUUUCACUAGCCCCACCAAGAUCCAAACUUAUAUAUCCAACCUCCUCCUUGAUAUGAAAUUUGAUGAUUAAUAAUCGUUUGAAACCAGAAUUCUUGAUUCCCCUUGCAAAUCUGUUCCUGUCUUUAUCAUUUCAGUCAAUGACAUAUCUACUUAGUUGUUCAAGCUAAAAACAUAGAAGUCAUUCUCAAUUCCUUCUUUUCUGUCACCUCUGUGUCCAUCCAUUAUCAGUCUAGUCAGUUCACCCUCCAAAAUCAAUCUCAAAUCUGUUUAUUCCUUUUAUUCUUUACCUUUACCCUCUUAGUCCAAAUCACUGGCUGCAGUAACUAUCUAACUGGCAUCCAUGCUUCCAUGUUUGCCCCCUACAACCCAUUCUCUACACAGCAUUCAGGGUGAUUUUUUUUUUUUAAUGUAACUCAGGGCAUGUCUAUUCUCUGUCAUUUAAGUCAAACAAAAUUCAGCUUCCUCACUUCAUUUGAUUUGGUCUCAUCAUACAAGCUUUAUCCAUUUAAGACUUUGUUUCUUUGUUAUCAGGUGUAAAGAUAGAUCCUUUUGUUCUUUAAAAGCAGAUACGUUUACCUUUUCAAAUAGAUCCCUUUACUUUUAGUUAAACUCCAAUUUUGCCGGCAAAAGAACACUGCUUUUCCUGUUUGGGAACUGGUUGUGGGGAGAUAUAGGGGACUGAUAGGGUGACCAAACAUGUAGUAGAGAACCCCAGUGUCAUUGCACAAAUGCCGGCCUUCCCCACAUUCAUGGCUGAGCCUAGCUAAAACUGUAGGGGAAAUUUUUCUUCAGUAUACCAGCCAUUUUUGGGGGGGUUAUCAUAUUACUAUCAUCUGCCUCUCCUGCACUUAUUUUGCAAAGUUUACAGUGCUUUCUUCUAGGCCUCCAUAAAAAUUUGUUCUCAUAAUUUCUAUGUGUGAAAUGUGAACCCAAAGGUAUCUGAGACAGGUCUCAAUCAAUUUAGAAAGUUUUUUGUUCCAAGGUUAAGGACACACCCAUGACACAGCCUUAGGAGGUCCUGACAACGUGUGCCCAAGGUGGUCAGAAUAAAGCUUGCUUUUAUACACCUUAGGGAGACACAAUACAUCAAUCAAUACAUGUAAGAUUUACAGGAGUUCAAUCUGGAAAGACAGGACAACUUAAGGUGGGGACUUACCGGUCGUAGGAAGAUUUAAAAAUUUUCUGAUUGGCAACUGGCUGAAAUAGUUAUUAUCAGUAGAAAACAAUGUCUGGGUUGUGAUAAGGGGUUGUGGAGUCCAAGGUUUCAGUAUGAGGUUGAAGCCUCCACGUAGCAAGUUUCAAAAGAGAAUAGAUGGCAAAUGUUUCUUAUCAGACUUAGGGUUUGUGUUGAUAUUAAAUGCUGGUCAGCUUUUCCUGAAUUCCAAAAGGGAGGAGGGCAUAAUAAGGCAUGUCCAAUAUACCAUUAUGGCCUGAACCAGUCUUUCAGGAUAACUUUGGAGUGCCCUGGCUGAGACGGGGGCCAUAGAAUUUUAUUAUUGUUUACAGAAAUCAUCUGGGAAAAUGUAUUAAAAAUAACAAAACAAGCAUUUUGCAUUUGUCUUUAAAAGAUAGCCAUGCAUUGUGGCUCACACCUGUAAUCCCAACAUUUAGGGAGGCCAAGGUAGGGGGAACACUUGAGGGCAGGAGUUCAAGACCAUCCUGGGCAACGUAGCAAGAUCUCAUUUCCAGAAAAAACGAAAAUAAAAAAAAAAUUAGCCAGGCAUGGCAGCACGUGCCUGUAGUCCCACCUCCUUGGGAGGCUGACGUGGGAAGAUCUCUUGAGCCUAGGAGAUCAACGUUACAGUGAGCUAUGAUGGCACCAUUGCACUCCAGUCUGGAUGACAGACAAGAAGAAAGAACAAAGAGAGAGAGAGAGAGGUAGGGUCUAUAUGGGGUACAUGUGAAGAACAUGCAGGAUUGUUGAGUAGGUACCUACAUGGCAUUGCUGCCUCCAUCCCCAUCACCUAUAUCUGGCAUUUCUCCCUAUGUUAUCCCUCCUCAACUCCCUACCCGCUGCUGUUCCUCCCCUACUUUUCUCCAACAGACCCCAGUGUGUGAUGCUUCCCUCCCUGUGUCCAUGCGUUCUCAUCGUUCAAAACCCACCUAUGAGUAAGAACAUGUGGUGUUUGAUUUUCUGUUCUUGUGUCAGUUUGCUGAGAAUGAUGGUUUCCAGGUUCAUCCAUGUCCCUACAAAAGAGACAAACUCGUCGUUUUUUAUGGUUGCAUAGUAUUCCAUGGUGUGUAUGUGCCACAUUUUCCCUGUCCAGUCUAUCAUUGAUGGGCAUUUGGGUUGGUUCCAGGUCUUUGCUAUUGUAAACAGUGUCACAAUGAACAUACUUGUGCAUGUGUCUUUAUAAUAGAAUGAUUUAUAAUCCUUUGGAUAUAUACCCAGUAAUGGGAUUGUUGGGUCAAAUGGAAUUUCUAUUUCUAGGUCCUUGAGGAAUCACCACACUGUCUUCCACAAUGGUUGAACUAAUUUACACUCCCACCAACAGUGUGACAGUGUUCCUAUUUCUCCACAUCCUCUCCAGCAUCUGUUGUCUCCAGAUUUUUUAAUGAUCGCCAUUCUAACUGGCAUGAGAUGGUAUCUCAAUGUGAUUUUGAUUUGAAUUUCUCUAAUGACCAGUGAUGUGAGCAUUUUUUUAUAUGUUUGUUGGCCUCAUGUAUGUCUUCUUUCGAAAAGUGUCUGUUCAUAUCUUUUGCCCACUUUUGAAUGGGUUUUUUUUUCUUGUAAAUAUGUUUUAGUUAUUUGUAGAUUCUGGAUAUUAGCCCUUUGUCAGAUGGGUAGAUUGCAAAAAAUUUUUCCCAUUCUGUUUAUUACCAGUUCACUCUAAUGAUUGUUUCUUUUGCUAUGCAGAAGCUCUGGAGUUCAAUUAGAUCCCAUAUGUCUAUUUUGAGUUUUGUUGCCAUUGUUUUUGGUGUUUUAGUCAUGAAGUCCUUGUCUUUGCCUACAUCCUGAAUGGUUUUACCUAGGUUUUCUUCUAGGGUUUUUAUAGUGUCAGGUCUUAUGUUUAAGUCUUUAAUCCAUUUGGAAUUAAUUUUAGUGUAAGGUGUCAGGAAGGGGUCCAGUUUCUGCUUUCUGCACAUACCUAGCCAGUUUUCCCAACACCAUUCAUUAAACAGGGAGUCCUUUCCCCAUUGCUUGUUUUUGUCAGGUUUAUUAAAGAUCAUAUAAUUGCAGAGAUGUUGUGUUGCCUCCGAUGCCUCUGUUCUGUUCCAUUGGUCUAUAUCUCUGUUUUGUACCAGUACCAUGCUGUUUUGAUUACUGUAGCCUUGUAGUAUAGUUUGAAGUCUGGUAGUGUGGUGCCUCCCGCUGUGUUCUUUUUACUUAGAAUUGACUUGGCUAUGCGGACUCUCCUUUGGUUCCAUAUGAAGUUUAAGGUGGAUUUUUCCAGUUCUGUGAAGAAGGUCAUUGGUAGCUUGAUGGGGAUAGUGUUGAAUCUAUAAAUUACUUUGAGCAAUAUAGCCAUUUUCACAAUAUCGAUUCAUCCUAACCGUGAACACGGAAUGUUUUUCCAUCUGUUUAUAUCUUUUCUUAUUUCCUUGAGCAGUGGUUCAUAGUUCUCCUUGGAGAGGUCCUUGACAUCCUUUGUUAGUUGUAUUCCUAGGCAUUUUAUUCUCUUUGUAGCAAUUGUGAAUGGCAGUUCAUUCUUGAUUUGGCUCUCUUUAAGUCUGUUAUUGAUGUAUAGGAAUGCUUGUGAUUUUUGCACAUUGAUUUUGUAUCCUGAGACUUUGCUGAAGUUGCUUACCAGUUUCAGGAGAUUUUGGGCUGAGAUAAUGGGGUCUUCUAGAUAUACAAUCAUGUUGUCUGCAAAUAGAGACAAUUUGACUUCCUCCUUUCCUAAUUGAAUAUGCUUUAUUUCUUUUUCUUGCCUGAUUGCUCUGGCUAGAACUUCCAAUACUAUAUUGAAUAGGAGUGGUGAGAGAAGGCAUCUUUGUCUAGUGCCAGAUUUCAAAGGGAAUGCUUCCAGUUUUUGCCCAUUCAGCAUGAUUUUGGCUGUGGGUUUGUCACAAAUAGCUUUUAUUAUUUUGAGAUACGUUCCGUCAGUACCUAGUUUAUUGAGGGUUUUUAGCAUAAAGGGCUGUUGAAUUUUGUCAAAGGUCUUCUCUGCAUCUAUUGAGAUAAUCAUGUGGUUUUUGCCUUUGGUUCUGGUUAUGUGGUGAAUUAUUUUUAUAGAAUUGCGUAUGUUGAACCAGCCUUGCAUCCCUGGGAUAAAGCCUACUUGAUCGUGAUGGAUAAGCUUUUAGAUGUGUUGUUACAAUUGGUUUGCCAGUAUUUUAUUGAAGAUUUUUGCAUCUAUGUUCAUCAUGGAUAUUGGACUGAAGUUUUUUGUUGUUGUUGAGUCUCUGCCAGGUUUUGGUCCAGGAUAAUGUUGGUCACAUAAAAUGAUUUGGGAAGGAUUCCCUCUUUUUGGAUAUCUUGGAAUAGCAUCAGAAGGAGUGGUAUCAGCUCUUUUUUGUAUGUCUUGUAGAAUUCAGCUGUGAACCCAUCUGGACCUGGGCUUUUUUGUUGGUAGGCUAUUAAUUGCUGUCUCAAGUUCAGCCCUUGUUAUUGGUCUAUUCAGGGUUUUGACUUCUUCCUGGUUUAGGCUUGGGAAGGUUCAAGUGUCCAGGAAUUUAUCCAUUUCUUCCACGUUUAUUGGUUUAUGUGCAUAGAGUUGUUUGUAGUAAUCUCUGAUGGUAGUUUGUAUUUCUGUGGAAUCAGUGGUGGUAUCUCCUUUAUCGUUUUUUAUUGCAUCUAUUUGAUUCUUCUCUGUUUUCUUUUUUAUUAAUCUGGCUAGCAGUCUGUCUAUUUUGUUGAUCUUAUCAAAAAAACAGCACCUGGAUUUAUUGAUUUUUUUUGGAGGCUUUUUUUGUGUCUCUAUCUCCUUCAGUUCUGCUCUGAUCUUAGUUAUUUAUUGUCUUCUGCUAGAUUUUGAUUUUUGUUUUUAUCUUGCUCCUCUAGCUCUUUCGAUUUGGAUGGUAGGGUGUCAGUUUUAGAUCUUUCCUUGCUUCUUAUGUGGGCAUUUAUUGCUAUCAGUUUUCCUCUAGACACUGCUUUAAAUGUGUCCCAGAGGUUCUGAUAUGUUAUGUCUUCAUUCUCAUUGGUUUCCAAGAACAACUUUAUUUUCAGCUUCAUUUCAUUGUUUAUCGAGUCAUCAUUCAAGAGUCAGUUGUUCAGUUUCCAUGAAGUUGUGUGAUUCUGAGUUGGUUUCUUAAUCCUGAGUUCUAAUUUGAUUGCAGUAUUGUCUGAGAGACUGUUAUGAUUUCCAUUCUUUUUUAUUUCCUGAGAAGUGAUUUACUUCCAAUUAUGUGGUCAAUUUUAGGCUAGGUGUGAUAUGGUGCUGAAAAGAAUGUAUAUUCUCUGGAUUUGGGGUGGAAGUUUCUGUAGAUGUCUAUUAGGUUUCCUUGGUUCCAAUCUGAGUUCAAGUCCUGGAUAUCCUUGUUAAUUUUCUGUCUGGUUGAUCUGUCUACUAUUGACAGUGGAGUGUUAAAGUCUCCCACUAUUAUUAUGUGGGAAUCUAAGUCUCUUUGUAAGUCAUUAAGAACUUGCUUUAUGUAUGUGGGUGCUCCUAUAUUGGGUGUGUAUAUAUUUAGGAUCAUUAGCUCUUCUUGUUGCAUUGAUCCUUUUACUAUUAUGUAAUGUCCUUCUUUGUCUGUUUUGAUCUUUAUUGGUUUAAAGUCUAUUUUAUCAGAGACUAGGAUUGCAACUCCUUUUUUUUUUCUCUCCAUUUGCUUGGUAAAUCUUCCUGCAUCCCUUUAUUUUGAGUAUAUGUAUCUCCUUGCAUGUGAGAUGUGUUUCCUGGAUACAGCUCGCUGUUUGGUUUUGACUUUUUAUCCAAUUUGCCAGUCUGUGUCUUUGAUUGAGGCAUUUAGCCCAUUUACAUUUAAGGUUAAUAUAGUUAUGUGUGAAUUUGAUCCUGCCAUUUUGAUGCUAGGUGGUUGUUUUGCCCAGUAGUUGAUGCAGUUUCUUAAUUGUGUCGAUGCUCUUUACCAUUUUGUACGUUUUUGGAGUGAUUGGUACUGGUUGUUCCAUUCUAUGUUUAGUGCUUCUUUCAGGAGCACCUGUAAGGCAGGCCAGGUGGUGAAGAAAUCUCUGAGCAAUUUCUUGUUCAUAAAGGAUUUUAUUUCUGCUAACAAUCAGGCCCCUCUGUUCUAGGACUGCUGGAGGUCCACUUCAAACCCUGUUUGCCCAGGGAUCAUCUGUAGUGACUGCAGAACAGUAAGGAUUGUUGCCAGUUUCUUCUUCUGUUAUCUUUGUCCCAGAAGGAUACCUGCCAGAUGUCACCCUAGUUCUUCUUUAUGAGGUGUCUCUUUGGAUAUACGGGGGUUGGGAAGCUGCUUGAGGAAACAGCCUCUCCCUUAUAGGAGCUCAAGUGCUGAGCUGUGAGCUCUGUUGUUCUGUUCAGAGCUGCUUGGCUGGUACAUUUAAGUCUGCUGCAGCAGAACUCAUAACUGCCUUUUUUUCCCAGGUGCUCUGUCCUGGGAAGGUAGGGCUUUAUUUAUAAGUUCCUGAUAUGCUGCUGCUUUUUUUCAGAGUUGCCCUGCCCAGCGAGGAGGUAGCCUAGCCACAGUCUUCCAGCAGAGGCACUGCUGAGCUGCCAUGGGUUCUGCCCAGCUACUGUGUCAACUUCCUUGCAGUUUUGUUUAUAGAGGUAUAGUUAGAACUGCCUCAGUAAUGACAGACUAUCUCUGUAAUGGUGGAUUGCCUCAGUAAUGGCAGACUGCUUCAGUAAUGGCAGAUUGCCUUGGUAAUGGUGCACUGCCUCAGUAAUGGAAGACUGCCUUGGUAGUGGUGAACUGCCUCAGUAAUGGCGGAUGCCCUUCCCACCACAAAGCUGUACUUGUGGUGAAAUUCUCAAUCCAGAGCAUUUCAGAUUGCUGGUCCUUGUGGGGGUGGGAUGUGCCUAGCCAGAUCACCUGGCUCCCUUUUUCAGUCCCCUUUUUUUCAGUUGAAUGGGUGACUCAGUCUCCCAGGUGUUCCAGGCGCCAGUUGAAACGGCACCCAGAUUUGUGUGAGUUUUUGUGUGGAGACCCGUUGCGCCAGCUCAAACAGCCAUGCUGGAGACUCAUGGUGCUUUUCCACCCAGGAAUCUCCCAGUCUGUAGGCAGUAAAAAUUCGUUUGGAAAUGCAGUGAUUGGAGAGAUCCAAGAUGGCUGAUCACUAGCAGCUCAGGCUUGUAGCUCCCAGUGAAAUCGCAGAGAACAAGAGGACACCACACUUUCAGAUGAAUUUUUGUUGUUCACGGACCAGGAGAUUCCCAGCAGAGGAGCCCCACGGGUCGCCAGCACGACUCUUGCAGCUGGUGUGGCGGUUUUGCCGGUGCCCCGGUGCGGCAGUUCUCGGUGCAGAGUAAACGGGACUGGGUCCCCUUUUGGUCGAUGAUUGGAGCUCCAGGAAGGGGCAGAGCCGCCCAGUCAGCUAAUUGAAGAAGGGAUUCAGGAGAGAAGCCAGACCGGAGACUCCCGGACAGAAAAGCACCAAGAAUCUUGAUGCCGCUGUUUUAGCCGAUGCAGUGGGUUGCUCAGAUUUUGUUCCUGGGAAUUAACAAGUUGGACGUCCACUCAGAGACCUAAUUUGAAAGUCGGUAAUUACAAAGACAACAGCUGGAUAAAUUUACAAUGAUAAGAAGAAACCAGCGUAAAAAGGCUGAGAAUACUCAAACUCAGAAUGCCUCUCCCUCUACAGAGGAUCACAGUUCCUCAUCAACAAGGGAACAAGGCCUGAUGGAGAACGAGUGCAUUCCAUUAACAGAAUUAGGCUUCAGAAGGUGGAUAAUAAGAAACUUCUCUGAGUUAAAAGAACAUGUUCAAGCCCAAUGCAAAGAAACUAAGAACUUUGAAAAAAGGUUUGACGAAAUCCUAAUGAGAAUAGACAAUCUAGAGAGGAAUAUAAGUGAAUUAAUGGGACUGAACAAUACGAGAACACUGAGAAGUAUGCACAGGUUUUAACAGUCAAAUUGUCAAGCAGAAGAAAGGAUAUCAGAGGUCAAAGACCAAACUUAAUGAAAUGAAAUGAGAAGACAAGGUUAGAGAAGAAAAAGUAAAAAGGAAUGAGCAAAGGCUCCAAGAAAUAUGGGACUAUGUGAAAAGACCUAAUUUACGUUUGGUAGAUGUACCUGAAUGUCAUGAAGAGAAUGAAUCCAAGCUGGAAAAUAUUCUUCUGGAAAACUUUCCUAACCUAGUAAAGUGGGACAAUACUCAACUCCAGGUAAUACAGAGAACACUACAAAAAUAUUCCUCAAGUAGAGCAAUCCCAAGACACAUAAUCGUUAGAUUCACUAGGAUUGAAAUAAAGGAGAAAAUUCUAAGGGCAGCUAGAGAGAAAGGUCAGGUUACCCAUAAAGGGAAGCCUAUCAGACUUACAGCAGAUCUCUCAGCAGAAACCCUACAAACUAGGAGAGUGGGGGUCAAUAUUCAAUACCCUCAAAGAAAAGAAUUUUCAACCCAGAAUCUCAUAUCCAGCCAAACUAAGCUUUAUAAAUGAAGGAAAAAUAAAAUUCUUCACGAACAAGCAAGCACUCAGAGAUUUCAUCACCACCAGACCUGCUUUACAAGAGCUUCUGAAAGAAGCACUACACACAGAAAGGAACAACCAGUAUCAGCCAAAAACUUACCAAAAGGUAAAGAGUAGCUCCAUAAUGAAGAAUUUAUACCAACUAAUGGGCAAAAUAGCCUGCUAGCAUUAAAUGACAAUAUUAAACUCACAAUAUCAAUAAUAAUCCUGAAUUUAAAUGGAUUAAUUGCCCCAAUCAAAGACACAGAUAUGCAAACUGAACAAAAAGUCAAAACACAUCGGCACUCUUUAUCCAGAGCCAUCUCAUAAGCAAGGACACAGAAAGACUCAAAACAAAAGGUUGGAGGAAGACUCACCAGUCAAAUGGAGAGAAAAAAAAACAAAAGAAAACAAAAAACAGGAGUUGUAACUUUCAUCUCUGACAAAAUAGACUACAAUAGCAACAAAGACUAAAAGAAACAAAGAAGGACAUUACAUAAUGAUAAAAGGAUCAAUGCAACAACAGGAGUCAAUGAUCAUAAAUAUAUAUGCACCCAAUAUAGGGGCACCCAGAUACAUAAGACAAGUUUUCAAUGACUUAUAAAGAGACUUGGACUACCACACAAUAAUAGCAGGAGACUUUGACACCACAUUGUUAAUAUUCAAUGGAUUAACGAGAUAGAAAAAUAACAGGGACAUUUAUGAUUUGAACUCAGAUCUGGAGCAAGUAAACUCAAUGAAUAUUUAUAGAAUUCUUCACCCUGGGUGCACAGAACAUACAUUUUUUUUAGUAUCACAUUACACCUAUUUUGAAAGUGACCAAAUAAAUGGAAGCAAAUCACUCUUUAGCAUUUGCACAGCAUUUCACAGAUUUAAAUGAAAUAUUGGUUGGCUGUUUCUUUGUUAUUUUCUUUCCCUAUUCCUUCCUGUCUCCGCUGUUAAGCACAAUUAUCAGCAAAAAAGAGGUUUUUAAUACCUAUUUUUAGAUAGCAUUCCAGCCUGGGCAAUAGGGCAAGACUCCUGUUCUCUCUCGCCCUUUUCUCUUUCUCUAAAAAAAAAAAAAAAAAAAAGGAAAUGCAGUGAUCACUCACCUUCUGCAUUCUGGGAACUGCACUCCAGAGCUGUUCCUAUUUGGCCAUCUUGGAUUGUUUGCUAUUUUUUUGUCUUUUUAAUAGUAGCCACUCUGACUGGGGUAAGAUGAUGUCUCAUUGUGGUUUUGAUUUGCAUUUCUCUGAUGAUUAGUGAUUUUGAGCAUUUUUUUCAUAUACCUGUUGGCCAUUUGUAUUUUGUCUUUUGAGAAAUAUCUAUUCAUGUACUUUGCUUUCCCCUACUUUUUUUUUUUUUUUUGAGACGGAGUUUCACUCUUGUUACCCAGGCUGGAGUGCAAUGGCGUGAUCUUGGCUCACCACAACCUCUGCAUCCUGGGUUCACACAAUUCUCCUGCCUCAGCCUCCUGAGUAGCUGGGAUUACAGGCAUGCACCACCAUGCCCAGCUAAUUUUUGUAUUUUUUUUUUUUUUUUUAGUAGAGACGGGGUUUCACCAUGUUGACCAGGAUGGUCUCGAUUUCUUGACCUCGUGAUCCACCUGCCUCGGCCUCCCAAAGUGCUGGGAUUACAGGCUUGAGCCACCGCGCCCGGCCUCCCCUACUUUUUAAUGGAAUUAUUUGUUGCUUUUUUUUUUUUUUCCUGUUGAGUUGUUUGAGUUCCUUGUAUAUUCUGUAUAUUAGUCCCCUGUCAGAUGAAGUUUGCAAAUGUUUUCUCCAAUUCAGCAGGGUGCCUCUUCACUUUGGUGAUUAUUUCCUUUAUUGUGCAGAAGCUUUCUUUUUGUUUAAUUAAGUCUCUUUUGUCUAUUUUUAUUUGUUAUCUAUGCUUUUGAAGUCUUGGUAAUACAUUCUUUGCCUACACCAAUGCCCACUAGAGUUUUUGCUAGGUUUUCUUCUAGUAUUUUUAUAAUUUUAGAGCUUGCAUUUAAGUCUUUAAUCAACUUCAAGUUUAUUUUUGUAUGUGGUGAGAGAUAGGGGUCCAGUUUCAUUCUUCUGCAUGUGGCUAUCUUAUUUUUCCAGCACGAUUUAUUUAAGAGAUUGUCCUUUCUCCAAUAUGAGUUCUUGUUGCCUUGGCCAAUGAUCAGUUGACUGUAAAUAUGUGGCCUUAUUUUUGGGUUUUCUGUUCUGUUCCAUUGGUCUAUUUUUAUACCAGUAUGAUGUUGUUUAGGUUAUUAUAGUCUUGUGGCAUAUUUUGAAGUCAGGCAAUGUGAUGCUUCCAGCUUUGUUCAUUCUGCUCAGGAUUGUUUUGGCUCUUGGGUUCUUUUUUGGUUUCACAUGCAUUUUAGGAUUAUUUUUUCUAGUUCUGUAAAAAAAAUGGUGUGGCAUUUUUAUUAAAAUUGCAUUGAAUCUGUAGAUUUCAUUGGAUUGGUCCAUACAGUCAUUUUAACAAUAUGAAUUCUAAUCCAUGAGCUUGAGAUGUUUUUCCAUUUGUUUGUAUUAUCUUCAGUUUCUUUCAUCAGUAUUUUGUAGUUUUCUUUGUAGAGAUCUUUCACCUCUUUGGUUAAAUAUGUUCCUAGGCUUUUGUUUGUUUGUUUGUUUGUAGCUAUUAUAAAUGGGAAUGCUUUCUUGAUUUUUGUAGAAAUGCUAAUGAUUUUGGGGCAUUGAUUUUGCAUCCUAUAGCUUUAAUGAAUUCAUUUAUCAAAUCUUAGAGGUGUAGGGGUGUGUUUGUGUGUGUGUGUGUGUGUGUAUAGUCUAGGUUUUUCUAGGUAUAUCACAUCAACAGCAAAGAGGGACAAUUUAACUUCCUCUUUUCCAAUUUGGAUGCUGUUUAUUUUUUUCACUUGCCUGAUUGCUCUGGCUAGGACUUCCAGCACUGUCUUGGAUAGGGGUAAUGAAAGUGGGCAUCCUUGUCUUGUUCCAGUUCUCAGAGGAAAGGCCUUCAACUUUUCCACAUUCAGUAUGAUUUUAGUUGUGGGUUUGUUGUAUAUGGCCUUUCUUAUUUUGAGGUAUGUUCCUUUUAUACAUAGUUUGUUGAGUUUUCUAUCAUGAAGCCAUGUUGAAUUUUAUCAGAUGAUUUUCUGCAUCUAUUGAGAUGAUCAUGUGGUUUUUGUCCUUCAUUCUGUUGACAUAAUAUAUCAUGUUUAUUGACUUGCAUAUGUUGAACCAUUCUUGCAUCCCUGAUAUAAAUCUCACUUGAUUAUGGUAUAUUAUCUUUUUGUUUUUUGUAUUUGUUUGAGACAGGAUCUCCUUCUAUUGCCUAGGCUAGAGUGCAGUGGGGUGAUCUUAGCUUACUGCAACCUCAGCCUCCUGGGCUCAAGUGAUACUUCCACGUCAGCCUCCUGAAUAGCUGUGACUAUAGGUGAAUGCCACCACACCUGAUUAAUUUUUGUUAUUUGUAGAGAUGGAGUCUCACUAUAUUGCCCAGACUGGUCUUGAACUCCUGGGCUUAGGUAAUCCUACUGCCUUGCCUUAGCUUCUCAAAGUGCUGAUGAGGGAAUGUGUUCUCUUUCCAGAUCCACAGGAGACAUAGUUUUGAGGGCAAGAACUUCCUAGCACCAUGCCCCCCACUCCUAUCUCUCUCCAUCUGGGAGAUUUAACAGUUUGUGUUUAAAUUUCACAGGCACAGGAAGAAACUAGGAGUCAGUCACUCCAGUGGAAGUUCUAAUGAACCCCUUUCAUUGGCCUGGGGUCUUAGAGAAGGUGGGGGUUCCUCCCAGCUUAAAAGUCCCCUUCUUCCACAGCCCUUCGGACUCCAUGUUUGGAUCCCCUUCCAUGGACACUCCCUUCGUGGAAGCGGUUUUUCUCUAUCCUAGAUUUUCCCUCUGGAGUCUCCUUCCACACUCUCUCAUGGAAGCCUAUCUUCCCUUCCUAAACUCUAUCUCUCUAUUCCCUUCUUCUCAGUGUGAGAAGGAAAUCCAUCUUUCUAAAUUCUCUCACUCAGUGUGAGAGUUAGCUGUUUCUUUCUCUCCUUCUCCUGUUUCUCUCUCUCUUUAAAUAAAUCACUUUCUGGUCGGGCGCGGUGGCUCACGCCUGUAAUCCCAGCACUUUGGGAGGCCGAGGCGGGUGGAUCACGAGGUCAAAAGAUCGAGACCAUCCUGGUCAACAUGGUGAAACCCCGUCUCUAUUAAAAAUACAAAAAAUUAGCUGGGCAUGGUGGCGCGUGCCUGUAGUCCCAGCUACUCGGGAGGCUGAGGCAGGAGAAUUGCCUGAACCCAGGAGGCGGAGGUUGCCGUGAGCCGAGAUCGCUCCAUUGCACUCCAGCCUGGGUAACAAGAGCAAAACUCCAUCUCAAAAAUAAAUAAAUAAAUCACUUUCUACGAACACUUUUGAGUCCAGCAUUUACUGCGCACUGUGCUGUGGUCCCCUCUCUCAUUCUUGAGAGGGCAGGAGACCAAGAAUCUGGAGAAACAUCCUCUCAGGGGAGCUGAGGGCACCCUGAACCCCAAUAUUACACUGGGGUUACAGAUGUGAUAAUCCAAUACCAAAUCCAACAGUACAUCAAAAAGAUAAUAUACUCUGCCAAGGCCUGGGGGAAUUAUCUUUUCGAUGUUCCAUUGGAUUUGGUUUGCUAGUAUUUUGUUGAGGAUUUUUGUGUCUAUGUUCAGAGAUACUGUUCUGUAGUUUUCGUUUUUGUCAUCUCCUUGAGUUUUGAUAUUAGGGUGAUGCUGACCACAUAGAUGAGUUAGGAAAAAUUUCCUCCUCUCUGAUUUUUUGAAAUAACUUCAAGAAGAUUGAUAGUAGUGCUUUGUACCUUUGGUAGAACUCAGGUGUGAAUCUAUCUGGUCCUGGGCUUUUAUGCUGUUGUUGUCUUACUGAUUCAGUCUUACUGUCUGUUAUUGAUUUGUUUAGGUUUUCUGUUUAUUCAUGCCCAAUUGGGGUAGGUUGUAUGUUUUCAAGAAUUUAUCUAUAUCUGAUAGGUUUUCCAGUUUGUCAGUGUGUAGUUGUUCAUAACAGUCUCUGAUGAUCUUUUGUAUUUCUGUGAUAUCAGUUGUAAUGUUUCCUUUUUCAUUUCUGACUUUAUUUAAAUCUUUCUUCAUGACUAGCCUAGCUAGUGGUUUUUAAAUAUUGUUUA